This is a long non-coding RNA of Cottoperca gobio, 611 nucleotides long. RefSeq lists it as uncharacterized. The transcript has 4 exons. Lineage: Eukaryota; Metazoa; Chordata; Actinopteri; Perciformes; Bovichtidae. The record is from RefSeq and is a predicted model, not a curated record.
CGAAGGGGCCCCAGUGACAGAGCCAUUCACAAGCACGGGCCAUAAAUGACCGAGUUGAACGCCACAUUAAGCACCGCAUUCUCACGAAGCAGGACGGAGCAAAGCCAAAAUGCCAGGAACAAAAGGUAAUAAGUCGGACAAGAAGUCAGCUACCAAGCAACCUCAGAGUCCUAAAGAGCAGCCGAAGAAAGUUGAUCAGAAAGGAGAUGACAACAAGAAGCAAGGAGGACAGCCGAAGGGAGAGAAGCAAUAACUUCCAGGCGUUUGUGAAGAUGGCGCUGGAGACGCUGCUGGGGUCCUGCCGUCGUAAACACGGGAGCCCCCGGGGCAGGCAGGGCUGAGCGCACUGUGACCCCGGAGCCCGCAGACUGGGCUGUUGUGCUUCAAACACAGCAUCUGCUCACCUCUCACAGAGGCAGCACGUGAACCUGAUCUCCAUCCAUCACCAUCUGUUGUUCAACCCCUGCCCCCCCCGCCCCCCACUGGUUUAAAGGAUGCUCAGGAUUAGACUCCAGGUGAAACCGGACGAUUGCUCUGAGCAACAACAAAAAAACAUUUUGUCCUCCCUUAAUUAACAAGCCCCCCCCCUCACCACGACCGACUGUCUAACA